UGUGUGGCCAAUGGAUGUUGUGUGGAUGCAAGAACUUCCCAUUGUUACUAUCCUUUGGAUGCGUGCACUGCAGAUGGGCAUUUUGUAUUCUCCGUAUACCGCACCUCAACCAAGCCAGAAAUUGAUCCGAGCAGUCUAGUAAUUGCAGGAAACCAUUCAUGUGUCCCUGUAAUCUGCACUCCAGACUUUGCGGUCUUCAAAUUUCCUGUGACUGGCUGUGGGACACGUGUCUUUACUGUGGCGGAGACUACAAUCUAUCUUGCUGAAGUUCGUGGUUUGGUUCGGGGGAUCCAGCAGAUGUAUGGACAAAUUACCAGAGAUGGCCC
This is a long non-coding RNA of Polyodon spathula (Mississippi paddlefish), 326 nucleotides long. RefSeq lists it as uncharacterized. The record is from RefSeq and is a predicted model, not a curated record. NCBI's taxonomy places the organism in Eukaryota, Metazoa, Chordata, Actinopteri, Acipenseriformes, Polyodontidae. The transcript has 3 exons.